UACGUAGGGGGCAAGCGUUGUUCGGAAUUACUGGGCGUAAAGCGCGCGUAGGCGGUUUGAAAAGUCAGAUGUGAAAGCCCCGGGCUCAACUUGGGAACUGCAUUUGAUACUGUCAGACUAGAGUACAGAAGAGGUGACUGGAAUUCCCAGUGUAGCGGUGAAAUGCGUAGAUAUCGGGAGGAACACCAGUGGCGAAGGCGGUUGCCUGGAGCUUUGCUGACGCUGAGGCGCGAAAGCGUGGGGAGCGAUCCGG
RNAcentral lists this ribosomal RNA (253 nucleotides) under uncultured bacterium. Its description in RNAcentral is "partial 16S ribosomal RNA". It matches the Rfam family "Bacterial small subunit ribosomal RNA", at positions 524 to 776 of the family's 1533-position model. The record is from RNAcentral.